RNAcentral lists this ribosomal RNA (508 nucleotides) under uncultured bacterium. RNAcentral describes it as "partial 16S ribosomal RNA". It matches the Rfam family "Bacterial small subunit ribosomal RNA", at positions 30 to 523 of the family's 1533-position model. The record is from RNAcentral.
AUUGAACGCUGGCGGCAUGCCUUACACAUGCAAGUCGAACGGCAGCGGGGGAGAAGCUUGCUUUUCCUGCCGGCGAGUGGCGAACGGGUGAGUAAUACAUCGGAACGUGCCCUGUAGUGGGGGAUAACUAGUCGAAAGAUUAGCUAAUACCGCAUACGACCUGAGGGAGAACGGGGGGGAACGCAAGGCCCCAUGCUAUAGGAGCGGCCGAUGUCUGAUUAGCUAGUUGGUGGGGUAAAGGCCUACCAAGGCGACGAUCAGUAGCUGGUCUGAGAGGACGAUCAGCCACACUGGGACUGAGACACGGCCCAGACUCCUACGGGAGGCAGCAGUGGGGAAUUUUGGACAAUGGGCGAAAGCCUGAUCCAGCAAUGCCGCGUGUGUGAAGAAGGCCUUCGGGUUGUAAAGCACUCUUGUCCGGAAAGAAAUGGCUCUGGUUAAUACCUGGGGUCGAUGACGGUACCGGAAGAAUAAGGACCGGCUAACUACGUGCCAGCAGCCGCAGUAA